GACGAACGCUGGCGGCGUGCCUAAUACAUGCAAGUCGAACGCUUCUUUCCUCCCGAGUGCUUGCACUCAAUUGGAAAGAGGAGUGGCGGACGGGUGAGUAACACGUGGGUAACCUACCCAUCAGAGGGGGAUAACACUUGGAAACAGGUGCUAAUACCGCAUAACAGUUUAUGCCGCAUGGCAUAAGAGUGAAAGGCGCUUUCGGGUGUCGUUGAUGGAUAGACCCGCGGUGCAUUAGCUAGUUGGUGAGGUAACGGGUCACCAAGGCCACGAUGCAUAGCCGACCUGAGAGGGUGAUCGGCCACACUGGGACUGAGACACGGCCCAGACUCCUACGGGAGGCAGCAGUAGGGAAUCUUCGGCAAUGGACGAAAGUCUGACCGAGCAACGCCGCGUGAGUGAAGAAGGUUUUCGGAUCGUAAAACUCUGUUGUUAGAGAAGAACAAGGACGUUAGUAACUGAACGUCCCCUGACGGUAUCUAACCAGAAAGCCACGGCUAACUACGUG
Molecule: ribosomal RNA, 508 nt
Filed under: uncultured bacterium
Lineage: Bacteria
Description: partial 16S ribosomal RNA
Rfam family: Bacterial small subunit ribosomal RNA
Source: RNAcentral